Molecule: non-coding RNA, 240 nt
Organism: Pelobates cultripes (western spadefoot toad)
Lineage: Eukaryota; Metazoa; Chordata; Amphibia; Anura; Pelobatidae
Source: the annotation of a GenBank genome assembly
AAAGGCGGCUGCGCUUGUCUGUGAUAACCUUGUGCCGAUCGCACGUCCCCGUAACGGUGACAACGCAUUCUGAUGUCUGCCCUAUCAACUUUCUAUGCUAUUUUCCGCGCCUACCAUUAUGACCACGGGUAACGGGGAAUCAGGGUUCAAUUCCAGAGAGGGAGCCUGAGAAACGGCUACUACAUGCAAAAAAAAGGCAGCAGGCAUGCAAAUUACCCACUCCUGACGCGGGGAGGUAGU